UCUAGAGAUAGGACGUCCCUUCGGGGGCAGAGUGACAGGUGGUGCAUGGUUGUCGUCAGCUCGUGUCGUGAGAUGUUGGGUUAAGUCCCGCAACGAGCGCAACCCUUGAUCUUAGUUGCCAGCAUUCAGUUGGGCACUCUAAGGUGACUGCCGGUGACAAACCGGAGGAAGGUGGGGAUGACGUCAAAUCAUCAUGCCCCUUAUGACCUGGGCUACACACGUGCUACAAUGGACAGAACAAAGGGCAGCGAAACCGCGAGGUUAAGCCAAUCCCACAAAUCUGUUCUCAGUUCGGAUCGCAGUCUGCAACUCGACUGCGUGAAGCUGGAAUCGCUAGUAAUCGCGGAUCAGCAUGCCGCGGUGAAUACGUUCCCGG
This 376-nucleotide ribosomal RNA is filed under the name Bacillus subtilis. RNAcentral's name for it is "bacterial SSU rRNA". It matches the Rfam family "Bacterial small subunit ribosomal RNA", at positions 999 to 1377 of the family's 1533-position model. Lineage: Bacteria; Bacillati; Bacillota; Bacilli; Caryophanales; Bacillaceae. The record is from RNAcentral.